GGAGGAAUAUUGGUCAAUGGGCGGGAGCCUGAACCAGCCAAGCCGCGUGGAGGAAGAAGGUACAGAGUAUCGUAAACUCCUUUUGUCAGGGGAUAAAAGGCGCCACGAGUGGCGUUCUGAAGGUACCUGAAGAAAAAGCAUCGGCUAACUCCGUGCCAGCAGCCGCGGUAAUACGGAGGAUGCGAGCGUUAUCCGGAUUUAUUGGGUUUAAAGGGUGCGUAGGCGGUCUUUUAAGUCAGCGGUGAAAGCCCGGGGCUCAACCCCGGCGAGCCGUUGAUACUGGGAGACUGGAGAGGAAGAGAGGCAUGCGGAAUUCGCGGUGUAGCGGUGGAAUGCUUAGAUAUCACGCAGAACUCCGAUUGCGAAGGCAGCAUACCGGCGCCCGACUGACGCUCAUGCACGAAAGCGUGGUAUCGAACAGGAUUAGAUACC
This 432-nucleotide ribosomal RNA is filed under the name uncultured bacterium. RNAcentral's name for it is "bacterial SSU rRNA". It matches the Rfam family "Bacterial small subunit ribosomal RNA", at positions 355 to 786 of the family's 1533-position model. The record is from RNAcentral.